AUGCUGAGGAGCGUCAUGGCGAGGACCGAGGCCAUGUCGCCGACGAAGACCACGGGCAGAGGGUCGAGGGGCAGCAGGUGGUCACCGUUGCGGGCGGGAGCUGGCGUGAACGACCGGCAGAGCCCUGACCGUGACCCGCGUCGGAGUCCGGCGAAGCUGCACGACGACGACGGGGUCGACUUCGUCGUCGCGUCACCGCGUGCGCUGCUCCGGUCGUUCUCGGCGCCGGCGGCUGGGUGUUCUUCGGGCGCGUCCUCUGAAGGCGCGGAGAAGACGGUGGGCCGGAGCAGAAGCUUCAGCAUUUUCAGAGGGACGGUGGCGAGCCUGAGGCAUAGCCUCUGCAUGGGCGGAGGAGCAGGGAAGCUGCUGCUGACGCAUCUGUCCAGGAAGAAGCCUUCCUCUCCGGCGUCUCCCCGUCAGAAUUUCCUCUCGGCCGGGCCUCCCAGCCCGGUGUCGCCGUUGGAGGUCAGCGGCGGCCGCCAUUUCUCCGGCGAUCUCAACUGCACGUUCCUCCCAGAGUCGAGCCCGAGGUGGAAUCCCAGGUGUUCGUCGGAGUUGGAGGCGUCCGUGGGCGGCGGCGAGUCGCCGUGGGAAUGGAAGGCCGACGCCGCGGCCGAGAGCGACGACCCGGACACGGCGUACGUCAGAGAAGUGCUCGUUGCCGCGGGGCUGUUCGUCGAGGACGACGACGAGGCACCGGUUGCGAGGACGGACUCGAUCGCCAUCUCCGACGACGUCUUCGAGGAGGUCGAGGACGGGCACUACUACCGCCGCCUCCGGUACCGCGACGACGGCGCCGGAGAGGAUGAGGAACUCGGGGCGGCGGACCGCCGCAGGCUGCUCUUCGACCUGGCCAACGAGGCGCUGCUGGCGGGAGCCAGACCUGCCGUCUCGUCUUCUUCGCCGUCGUGUCUGCGCCGGUGGGUCGUCGAAUGCAACGACGGCGCGCCAUCGUCGUCGCGGCCGCGGGGGAGGGAGCUGGAGGACGAGGUGUGGCGGCACGUGGCGCGGGCGACGGCGGACGGCACGGCGGAGCGCGACGUCGGGAGGUCGCCGUGGGUGCCGGAGGCGCUGUGCGGGGACGCCUGCGCCGUCGGGAGGAAGAUCGAGCGCGCCAUCUUCGACGAGCUGGUCGGCGAUGUCGUGCGCCAGCUGUUUGUCUGA
This 1164-nucleotide ribosomal RNA is filed under the name Triticum aestivum (bread wheat). Its description in RNAcentral is "partial small subunit ribosomal RNA". Lineage: Eukaryota; Viridiplantae; Streptophyta; Magnoliopsida; Poales; Poaceae. The record is from RNAcentral.